Molecule: ribosomal RNA, 447 nt
Filed under: Hypselodoris skyleri
Lineage: Eukaryota; Metazoa; Mollusca; Gastropoda; Nudibranchia; Chromodorididae
Description: partial 16S ribosomal RNA
Rfam family: Bacterial large subunit ribosomal RNA
Source: RNAcentral
AGCCUAAGGUUAUUAAUCUUAGGUUAAACCUGCCCAAUGUUAAGUUAAAUUAAUGGCCGCGGUAAUUUGACCGUGCUAAGGUAGCGAAAUCAAUUGGCUUUUAAUUGGGGUCAGGAAUGAAUGGAAUAACGUGGUUUAACUGUCUCCUCACUAAUUACUUGAAAUUACUAUGCAGAUGAAAAAGUCUCUAAACAGAAAAAAGACGAGAAGACCCUUAGAGUUUUUCUUAAAAUAGAUCUAAUUAUGUCUAUAAAAGUUUAGUUGGGGCAACUAUAGAAAAUUAUAUAUAACUUCUUAAAUUUUUAUUAGCCGAUUAUUUUAAGUAUGUACAAACUACCUUAGGGAUAACAGCAUUAUGUAAUAAUUAAGCUUGUGACCUCGAUGUUGGACUGGGAAACUAAAAGGCUAGCCGUUUUUUAGGAAAGUUCUGUUCGAACAUAGAAUUCC